GGGCUGCCUGAUACUUUGUUAAAGAGACAGUGCACCAAAUGUGACAGCCACCAUUUGACACCAUGCAAUCGAUUGGCACAAAGGGCAGCACGGCGCUGGAGUGGUUAGCACGUCUGCCUCACAGUCAUAAGGUUUGGGGUUUGAAUUCCAGCCCCAGCCUAGCUUUGUGGAGUCUGCAUGUUCCAUGCAUGGGUACUUCGGCUUCCUCCCACAUUCCAAAAACGUGUAAAGGCUCCUAACACAGGCGGUGUCGAGUCUCCGGGACUAGGUGCGGCGUUGGCCACAAGCGGCGAACUAGAGCUCCGAAGGCUGUCGUCUCCACCCGAGCAGCUGCUGUUGGGCGAGAUGGAAAGCUCCAGUUCUUCC
Phyllopteryx taeniolatus (common seadragon) is the source of this 366-nucleotide long non-coding RNA. RefSeq lists it as uncharacterized. NCBI's taxonomy places the organism in Eukaryota, Metazoa, Chordata, Actinopteri, Syngnathiformes, Syngnathidae. The transcript has 3 exons. The record is from RefSeq and is a predicted model, not a curated record.